GAGUUAGUAGCCUAAUCGUUAAAGGUACGGUCACAUGGUCGAGGGUUUAAAUCCCGCCUAACUCA
This 65-nucleotide transfer RNA is filed under the name Papilio xuthus (Asian swallowtail). It matches the Rfam family "tRNA". From Rfam's summary of the family: Transfer RNA (tRNA) molecules are approximately 80 nucleotides in length. Lineage: Eukaryota; Metazoa; Arthropoda; Insecta; Lepidoptera; Papilionidae. The record is from Rfam by way of RNAcentral.